Molecule: non-coding RNA, 1820 nt
Organism: Vicugna pacos (alpaca)
Lineage: Eukaryota; Metazoa; Chordata; Mammalia; Artiodactyla; Camelidae
Source: RefSeq, a predicted model, not a curated record
ACAACCCCUGAGGCCUGUCGUGGGGAUCACAGCGCGCUGGCCCCGUGGUAGGCAGUGCUGUAUUUCCACAGAGCAGUCUUGCCCCUCUGACGGCUGUCUUUGGUGGGUGACUAUGGAGCAGAGUUUGUCCAGAUCUUAGCAGGGAUGCUUCACAUUACUGAAGUUUCCGCUCUUCUGGGAGAAGCCUCCUGUGACUGGAUAUACCUAAAGACACUGUACCUUACUCCCGGUUACUCUGUGACAUCACCGUUUGAUCGUCCUCUCUGUCUCUGCUUCCACCAGACUGUGAAAUCUGUGACAGCAGGGACUGUAUCUGUGGGUCACGGCUACACCACUUGUGCCUGGAAGUUGGCAGGUGAACCAAGACUGUCAGCUGAACGAAUGGACGAUCCUGGGUUAUGAUUUAUACCUCAUUAAAUCUUCAAAAUUGGAGGCGUAAUUUUUGUAAACAGUAAAUUUACUAUGAAGGAGGUUCAGAUAAUGGAGCAGAGGGGCAGAGAACUUGGUUAAUGUUCCCCAGGUCCCAUGGCUAGAACUGGCGGGGCUGGAGUCACAGUCCACUUUGUCUCUAGUCUGUCUGCAGCCUGUCCUUUUCAGUUUCUCCAAGUUACCUGCUGAUCUGAUGAGAACCCUGUGAUGUAAGAAUACACCAGCAUUUCUUCUGCCUUUCAACAUGCUGCAUGUGGAAACCAGCAUCAACCUCUAUGUUCUUGUAAUCCAUACAUUCAAAGGAGAAGAUGACUCUUGAAGGUGGAGUACUUUGCAGCCAUCUGCACCCCUGACACUUGGGAUACGUCUUUAAGACAAAUACAGGGAGUGCUGAUUGUGGGCCACACUUGGGUUAAUCAGAGGAGUCGUCCUGGGAUAAAGAGUAUGGUUCGAGACGUGAUAAAUUGAGGGCACUGUUGGUGUUACUUUCUUAGGGGAGGUAACUAGCCCUUGUCAAUGGGAAUUAACAGAAGGCAAACUGGGAAUGAAAGAUGAAGACAAUUCAGGAAAGAAAUAAAGAGCCUGUGAAACUUUCUGUAAAAGAAACCAAUGUUUAAAAGGAAGUUUCAGUUAGUUGACAACCUUUUCAGAGUCCAUGCCCUGCAGAAUCAAUUAUACUUUCUGUUCUCCGAUUACACUGGAUACAAAUGCCUCUUACUGCACAUUGUUUAUGUGUUAAGUUCCCUGUUCUAGGGCAGGAGAGAAGACUAUGGAUAGUUACUGAAAGAGUGUAUUGCGUGUGGUGAACAUUUAAUACUGAAAGACAUGGAAAGGACGGACAACUAGAGGUCUGUCCACCCUGGGUCUUUGGAGCUCCUUAAUCCUCCGUGUCUAGUGAAGUUUCUCAUGUUUCUCACUAUGUGUAAAUAAGCGCCUUAAAAAGUCAUCAUUCCACUUAGUAAGGUAACAGCUUUGGAUGUAAUAUGCUUCUGAAAUUGCCCACAAAUUUUCUUCUAUUUUUGAUAAAGAGGUGCUAUAAAGAUUCCUUUUAAAAUACUCAUCUGUCAUUAGCAUUUGCAGGCUUCCAUUUCAAAAGGCAUUUUAAAAAUUGUUGAUGAAAUCUCUUCUCUGUAAAAAAUCUUUGCCUGGCCUAAUUUUCAAGCCUCUGUCCCAUCCUCUCAGCUUCCUGGAGCUCUGCCCUGUCAGGUCAGACAUUUCCCUGGAAUGGUUGCAGGUUUGCUGGCAUUCCUCUGAGGACAGAGAUGGAUGAGGUGUGUGGGUUUGUUAAUGUUCACUUGGUAUUUUUAGUCCAUGGUUAGCAGAAGUAGAGGCCACAGCAGAGUGGCUUUUGUUGAAUGCGAAAUUUUACAUCUCUCCCUGGAAGGUCGCUU